UGGGGAAUUUUCCGCAAUGGGUGAGAGCCUGACGGAGCAACGCCGCGUGAGGGAGGACGGCCUGUGGGUUGUAAACCUCUUUUCUCAGGGAAGAAGAUCUGACGGUACCUGAGGAAUCAGCAUCGGCUAACUCCGUGCCAGCAGCCGCGGUAAUACGGAGGAGGCAAGCGUUAUCCGGAAUUAUUGGGCGUAAAGCGUCCGCAGGUGGUUAUUCAAGUCCGCUGUCAAAGACCGGAGCUCAACUCCGGAGAGGCAGUAGAAACUGAAGAACUAGAGACCGGUAGGGGUAGAGGGAAUUCCCAGUGUAGCGGUGAAAUGCGUAGAGAUUGGGAAGAACACCAGUGGCGAAAGCGCUCUACUGGGCCGGAACUGACACUCACAGGACGAAAGCUAGGGGAGCGAAAGGGAUUAGAUACCCGUGUAGUCC
RNAcentral lists this ribosomal RNA (427 nucleotides) under uncultured prokaryote. RNAcentral's name for it is "bacterial SSU rRNA". It matches the Rfam family "Bacterial small subunit ribosomal RNA", at positions 355 to 796 of the family's 1533-position model. The record is from RNAcentral.